This is a long non-coding RNA of Anguilla anguilla (European eel), 632 nucleotides long. RefSeq lists it as uncharacterized. The record is from RefSeq and is a predicted model, not a curated record. The transcript has 3 exons. NCBI's taxonomy places the organism in Eukaryota, Metazoa, Chordata, Actinopteri, Anguilliformes, Anguillidae.
UCAAAGCUACGGAUUGUGCAAUGCCAGUGUGUAAAGCAUGGUGUUGCAUGGAGUCAGGAAAAGAGGGUGUUGCAUGUCACGUAAAAACAAAAGAACAAACAACAGAAGGCAAAAGUGUAUGUGAGAACAGUGAACUUGAGUACAGGACAGAGGAGGAGCCUUAAUAGCAGCUCUCAGUCCUCUUCAGCUGCGAGCACAAAUGAGGAACAGCAGGAAGUAACACUUGCGUGGUUGAUGGCAGGUGCUGAGAGUUGCCGGCCCGACUGGUUGUCUUCUUCCUUCUCCUGGCCAUCCCCGCGAUUAUUGGAACCAUCUUUUACAUAAGGAGGAAGAAACAUGCACAGACAGACCAAAUGCCCUCUGGACCCUCUUUGGAUUAUGGAAAUAUAGAGAUGUUGGACAGAAACGCCGUUCCUAAUUUCUCAGUCACCCAGCAAAAUGCAUGCAAUGACUUGUAACAUCGAUAUGUAUAUAAGGGAAAUAAUAAUUCAGUUACAGUUACUGCAUAUGUUAAAUGUUGCCCUGCCAUUUUUUACUGUUCUGCACAGUAUACAUACUGCUAUGAUGAAACAAUAUUCUAGGCAUUUCUCAUUAGUAACUUUGCUUAAUGCUGGCCCUAGUUGAAAUAAAAA